RNAcentral lists this small nuclear RNA (107 nucleotides) under Pteropus alecto (black flying fox). Lineage: Eukaryota; Metazoa; Chordata; Mammalia; Chiroptera; Pteropodidae. The record is from RNAcentral.
GUGCUCUCUUUGGCAGCACAUAUACUAAAAUUGGAACGAUACAGAGAAGAUUAGUAUGGUCCUUGCGCCAGGAUGACAUGCAAAUUCGUGAAGUGUUCCAUAUUUUU